CCAGGAAGUUGUGGGGGCAGCAGCAGACGUGCGAGGUGAUUAAUAACAACAUAGAUAACUUCUGCUGAGGAAUUUCACAAGCUGAGCUUUAACAGGCAUUAACUCACUUAAUCCUCGCACCAAGUCUCAGAGAUUACAAAUUCAAAUGCCUAACUGGUCCAGGAAAACAACUGGAAAUGAGGGGAGAGAGCUGAGUGGAGAAUGUCAUGCACUGGUGGGCUUGUAUCUAUCCAAGAACAGAAGCCUUCCUGAGCUCUAGCUGACUGAUGCCAGAAAGAAGCUUCACUGAUGCAUUACAUUCGUUGCUAUGCAAUGUCAAGGAAUACUAUCAUUAUGAUUAGUACCAUCUGCAACAAAUGAGAGGAAGCAACACACAACAGAGCUGAAGAUUCAGAGCCUCUCUCCCAGCUGACUUGGGUGUGUACUAGUACACUGCCUCUAGAUUUUUACAACCGCAUGCAUACAAUCCACAGGGCAAACCACUUCAAUAGAACAUGGCUGGCAGCCAUAUGGUCACAUAUGAAUCCAACAGUUAAUUUAGCAAAGAAAACUGCUUGUAACAAGUUUUGAAUAUGUUAUCCCAGGUAGUACUUUGUUGACAAAUGAGAUGAUUGCCCAGAAAAUGAUAGUAACAUUUGUAAAAAGGGUUUGGAACCAAUUGAGAGAUGCAGCCAAGAAUCAAGCACUUGAAGAUCAAAGUGAUGGCUUUGUAACUGACAAAGCCUGGGUUGGAGAACACAGCUUAGAUUCAGAGGGAAGACCACAUGAAGACAUAGGGAAAGAUAGCCAUCUAAGGAGAGAGGCUCAGAAGAAACUAACCUUGCUGAAACCUCGAUCUUGGACUUCUA
Molecule: long non-coding RNA, 848 nt
Filed under: Equus caballus (horse)
Lineage: Eukaryota; Metazoa; Chordata; Mammalia; Perissodactyla; Equidae
Description: lncRNA (ENSECAG00000029230.2)
Source: RNAcentral